ACGUACACUCCUGCGGGAGGCAGCAGUGGGGAAUAUUGGACAAUGGGCGCAAGCCUGAUCCAGCCAUGCCGCGUGAGUGAUGAAGGCCCUAGGGUUGUAAAGCUCUUUCACCGGUGAAGAUAAUGACGGUAACCGGAGAAGAAGCCCCGGCUAACUUCGUGCCAGCAGCCGCGGUAAUACGAAGGGGGCUAGCGUUGUUCGGAUUUACUGGGCGUAAAGCGCACGUAGGCGGACUAUUAAGUCAGGGGUGAAAUCCCGGGGCUCAACCCCGGAACUGCCUUUGAUACUGGUAGUCUUUAGUUCGAGAGAGGUGAGUGGAAUUCCGAGUGUAGAGGUGAAAUUCGUAGAUAUUCGGAGGAACACCAGUGGCGAAGGCGGCUCACUGGCUCGAUACUGACGCUGAGGUGCGAAAGCGUGGGGAGCAAACAGGAUUAGAUACCCGGGUAGUCCCA
RNAcentral lists this ribosomal RNA (452 nucleotides) under uncultured organism. Its description in RNAcentral is "partial 16S ribosomal RNA". It matches the Rfam family "Bacterial small subunit ribosomal RNA", at positions 329 to 797 of the family's 1533-position model. The record is from RNAcentral.